CAUAUGCUUGUCUCAAAGACUAAGCCAUGCAUGUCCAAGUAUGAACGCUUCGUACUGUGAAACUGCGAAUGGCUCAUUAAAUCAGUUAUAGUUUAUUUGAUGGUUGCUUGCUACAUGGAUAACCGUGGUAAUUCUAGAGCUAAUACAUGCACAGAGUCCCGACUUCCGGGAGGGACGUAUUUAUUAGAUCCAAAACCAGCGCGGGUCUCCCUUCGGGGUGCCCGGUCCCUGGGCGAUUCAUGAUAACUGCUCGAAUCGCACGGCCCUGGCGCCGGCGAUGGUCCAUUCAAAUUUCUGCCCUAUCAACAUUCGAUGGUACGGUAGUGGCCUACCAUGGUUGCAACGGGUGACGGAGUAUUAGGGUUCGAUUCCGGAGAGGGAGCCUGAGAAACGGCUACCACAUCCAAGGAAGGCAGCAGGCGCGCAAAUUACCCAAUCCCGACUCGGGGAGGUAGUGACAAUAAAUAACAAUGCCGGGCUCUCGUAGUCUGGCAAUUGGAAUGAGUCCAAUCAAAACCCCUUAACGAGGAACAAUUGGAGGGCAAGUCUGGUGCCAGCAGCCGCGGUAAUUCCUGCUCCAAUAGCGUAUAUUAAAGUUGUUGCAGUUAAAAAGCUCGUAGUUGGAUUUCGGGGCGGCCCGGCCGGUGGGCCGCGAGGCGAGCACUGGUCGGGCGCCCUUCCUCUCGAAGGCUUCGACUGCUCUUGAUUCCGGUGGUCGAGGAGUUCGGGACGUUUACUUUGAAAAAAUUAGAGUGUUCAAGGCAGGCCGUCGCCUGAAUACAUUAGCAUGGAAUAAUGGAAGAGGACCUCGGUCCUAUUUUGUUGGUUUCCAGGGCCGAAGUAAUGAUUAAGAGGGACAGUUGGGGGCAUUCGUAUUCAAUUGUCAGAGGUGAAAUUCUCGGAUUUAUGGAAGACGAACAAGUGCGAAAGCAUUUGCCAAGGAUGUUUUCAUUAAUCAAGAACGAAAGUUGGGGGUUCGAAGACGAUCAGAUACCGUCGUAGUCCCAACCAUAAACUAUGCCGACUAGGGAUCGG
This 1035-nucleotide ribosomal RNA is filed under the name Cinachyrella kuekenthali. RNAcentral describes it as "SSU rRNA". It matches the Rfam family "Eukaryotic small subunit ribosomal RNA", at positions 25 to 1056 of the family's 1831-position model. The record is from RNAcentral. Lineage: Eukaryota; Metazoa; Porifera; Demospongiae; Tetractinellida; Tetillidae.